GCCUUCGUGGCUCAGCUGGUUAGAGCGCCGGUCUCAUACUCUCAGGAGUGAACACAUGAUCCGUUAGGAACCAUCCGGAGAUCGCCAGUUCGAUCCUGGCCGAGGGCA
Melampsora larici-populina 98AG31 is the source of this 108-nucleotide transfer RNA. It matches the Rfam family "tRNA". From Rfam's summary of the family: Transfer RNA (tRNA) molecules are approximately 80 nucleotides in length. Their secondary structure includes four short double-helical elements and three loops (D, anti-codon, and T loops). Lineage: Eukaryota; Fungi; Basidiomycota; Pucciniomycetes; Pucciniales; Melampsoraceae. The record is from Rfam.